Molecule: ribosomal RNA, 441 nt
Filed under: uncultured bacterium
Lineage: Bacteria
Description: bacterial SSU rRNA
Rfam family: Bacterial small subunit ribosomal RNA
Source: RNAcentral
UGGGGAAUCUUCCGCAAUGGGCGAAAGCCUGACGGAGCAAUGCCGCGUGAGUGAAGAAGGAAUUCGUUCCGUAAAGCUCUUUUGUUUAUGACGAAUGUGCUGAUUGUGAAUAAUGAUGAGUAAUGACGGUAGUAAACGAAUAAGCCACGGCUAACUAUGUGCCAGCUGCCGCGGUAAUACGUAGGUGGCGAGCGUUGUCCGGAAUUAUUGGGCGUAAAGAGCAUGUAGGCGGUUUUUUCAAGUCCGGAGUGAAAAUUGCGGGGCUCAACCCCGUAUGGCUCUGGAUACUGGAAGACUUGAGUGCAGGAGAGGAAAGGGGAAUUCUCAGUGUAGCGGUGAAAUGCGUAGAUAUUGGGAGGAACACCAGUGGCGAAGGCGCCUUUCUGGACUGUGUCUGACGCUGAGAUGCGAAAGCCAGGGUAGCGAACAGGAUUAGAUACC